This 857-nucleotide ribosomal RNA is filed under the name Xanthomonas campestris pv. campestris. RNAcentral's name for it is "partial 23S ribosomal RNA". It matches the Rfam family "Bacterial large subunit ribosomal RNA", at positions 2072 to 2925 of the family's 2925-position model. Lineage: Bacteria; Pseudomonadati; Pseudomonadota; Gammaproteobacteria; Lysobacterales; Lysobacteraceae. The record is from RNAcentral.
GUGGCAAGACGGAAAGACCCCGUGAACCUUUACUAUAGCUUUACACUGAACGUUGAGUUCGUCUGUGUAGGAUAGGUGGGAGGCUAUGAAACUGUGGCGCUAGCUGCAGUGGAGCCAACCUUGAAAUACCACCCUGUCGUGCUUGACGUUCUAACCUAGAUCCGUUAUCCGGAUCAGGGACCGUGUAUGGUGGGUAGUUUGACUGGGGCGGUCUCCUCCUAAAGAGUAACGGAGGAGCACGAAGGUACGCUCAGCGCGGUCGGACAUCGCGCACUGUGUGCAAAGGCAUAAGCGUGCUUGACUGCAAGAUCGACGGAUCAAGCAGGUACGAAAGUAGGUCUUAGUGAUCCGGUGGUUCUGUAUGGAAGGGCCAUCGCUCAACGGAUAAAAGGUACUCCGGGGAUAACAGGCUGAUACCGCCCAAGAGUUCAUAUCGACGGCGGUGUUUGGCACCUCGAUGUCGGCUCAUCACAUCCUGGGGCUGUAGUCGGUCCCAAGGGUAUGGCUGUUCGCCAUUUAAAGUGGUACGCGAGCUGGGUUCAGAACGUCGUGAGACAGUUCGGUCCCUAUCUGCCAUGGGCGUUGGAAGUUUGAGAGGGGCUGCUCCUAGUACGAGAGGACCGGAGUGGACGAACCUCUGGUGUUCCGGUUGUCACGCCAGUGGCAUUGCCGGGUAGCUAUGUUCGGAAGCGAUAACCGCUGAAAGCAUCUAAGCGGGAAGCGCGCCUCAAGAUGAGACUUCCCGGGGCACAAGCCCCCUAAAGGAACCAUAUAGACUAUGUGGUUGAUAGGUCAGGUGUGUAAGUACAGCAAUGUAUUGAGCUAACUGAUACUAAUGAUCCGUGCGGCUUGACCAU